ACGGAAGGCAGCAGUAGGGAAUAUUGCACAAUGGGGGGAACCCUGAUGCAGCAACGCCACGUGUGGGAAGAAGCAUUUCGGUGUGUAAACCACUGUCGUGAGGGAAUAAUGCUUGGCUCCGGCCAAGUUGAAUGUACCUCGAAAGGAAGCACCGGCAAACUUCGUGCCAGCAGCCGCGGUAAUACGAGGGGUGCAAGCGUUGUUCGGAAUCACUGGGCGUAAAGGGAGCGUAGGCGGAGACGCAAGCAGUCUGUACAAUACCGGGGCCCAACCCCGGACCUGCAGACUGGACUGUGUCUCUUGGAUAGUUCAGGGGCAGGCGGAAUUCCUGGUGUAGCGGUGGAAUGCGUAGAGAUCAGGAAGAACACCGAUGGCGAAGGCAGCCUGCUGGGGACUCAUCGACGCUGAGGCUCGAAAGUGUGGGUAGCAAACAGGAUUAGAUACCCUGGUA
RNAcentral lists this ribosomal RNA (451 nucleotides) under uncultured Fibrobacter sp. Its description in RNAcentral is "partial 16S ribosomal RNA". It matches the Rfam family "Bacterial small subunit ribosomal RNA", at positions 341 to 792 of the family's 1533-position model. The record is from RNAcentral. Lineage: Bacteria; Pseudomonadati; Fibrobacterota; Fibrobacteria; Fibrobacterales; Fibrobacteraceae.